This is a long non-coding RNA of Schistocerca nitens (vagrant locust), 625 nucleotides long. RefSeq lists it as uncharacterized. The transcript is spliced from 4 exons. The record is from RefSeq and is a predicted model, not a curated record. Lineage: Eukaryota; Metazoa; Arthropoda; Insecta; Orthoptera; Acrididae.
GCGGCUAGCAGACGACACAGGCGCGCUAUUCUUCGCAGUACCGAACUUGCGUUUUCGCAGUACGAAGUGUUGCUAAAAUACCAGCGGAAAUGUCGGACGAAAAUGAGAGCUGAAAACCCCGUUGAAAGGACGAAGAUUUGCAACGACAGACGAGAUAAAGGAAAAUUUGCAGACGGCACUUCGGGCGAUCCAGCAAGAGGCGUACUGGAAGUAGAAGUGGCGCUGGGAGCAGUGUAUCAAUUGUGGAGAAGAGUAUUUCGAAGGAGACCGUGCACAAUGAGUAAAAGGGGGCAGCUAACCCUCUGACCAAGCACGCUGAGCUACCGUGCCGGCCAACUCGUCUGACAGAAUGCCAGAGGCCUCUAACACGCCACGCAAAAUACUGAUAAACACUGUUGCUGUCGAGGAGACCAUUCACGGCUGUCACACCUGACAUGCUGCAGCGAGCUGAUGUCAUUCGCGAGGACAGACGCAUUCGUGGAAGACAUUUUGAGGACGAUGAGGAGGUGAUCCACAUAGUGAAGCACUGGCUCUGCCACCAGGACAAGGAUUGACACCGACAGAGCAUACACGUCUUGUUUCGCGCUGGAGGGCGGCCAUAGAACGGAAUGGACGUAUGUGGAAA